AUACGGAGGGUGCAAGCGUUACUCGGAAUCACUGGGCGUAAAGCGCGCGCAGGCGGCUAUUUAAGUUGGAUGUGAAAGCCUACGGCUCAACCGUAGAACUGCAUCCAAAACUAUUUAGCUAGAGUGUGGGAGAGGAAGAUGGAAUUAGUUGUGUAGGGGUAAAAUCCGUAGAGAUAACUAGGAAUACCAAAAGCGAAGGCAAUCUUCUGGAACACUACUGACGCUGAGGCGCGAAAGCGUGGGGAGCGAACAGGAUUAGAAACCCUAGUAGUCC
This 274-nucleotide ribosomal RNA is filed under the name uncultured bacterium. RNAcentral describes it as "partial 16S ribosomal RNA". It matches the Rfam family "Bacterial small subunit ribosomal RNA", at positions 523 to 796 of the family's 1533-position model. The record is from RNAcentral.